RNAcentral lists this transfer RNA (62 nucleotides) under Rhinostomus barbirostris (bearded weevil). Its description in RNAcentral is "tRNA-Thr". It matches the Rfam family "tRNA". Rfam says of the family: Transfer RNA (tRNA) molecules are approximately 80 nucleotides in length. Their secondary structure includes four short double-helical elements and three loops (D, anti-codon, and T loops). The record is from RNAcentral. Lineage: Eukaryota; Metazoa; Arthropoda; Insecta; Coleoptera; Curculionidae.
GUUUUAAUAGUUUAAUUAAAAUAUUGGUCUUGUAAACCAAUGAUAGGAGCACCUUUAAAACA